GGAAUAUUGCACAAUGGGGGAAACCCUGAUGCAGCAACGCCGCGUGAAGGAAGAAGGUUUUCGGAUCGUAAACUUCUAUCAACAGGGACGAAGAAAGUGACGGUACCUGAAUAAGAAGCCCCGGCUAUCUACGUGCCAGCAGCCGCGGUAAAACGUAGGGGGCAAGCGUUAUCCGGAAUUACUGGGUGUAAAGGGUGAGUAGGCGGCAUGGUAAGCCAGAUGUGAAAGCCCGCAGCUUAACUGCGGGACUGCAUUUGGAACUACUAAGCUAGAGUACAGGAGAGGUAAGCGGAAUUCCUAGUGUAGCGGUGAAAUGCGUAGAUAUUAGGAAGAACACCGGUGGCGAAGGCGGCUUACUGGACUGAAACUGACGCUGAGGCACGAAAGCGUGGGGAGCAAACA
This 402-nucleotide ribosomal RNA is filed under the name uncultured Clostridium sp. RNAcentral's name for it is "bacterial SSU rRNA". It matches the Rfam family "Bacterial small subunit ribosomal RNA", at positions 358 to 774 of the family's 1533-position model. The record is from RNAcentral. Lineage: Bacteria; Bacillati; Bacillota; Clostridia; Eubacteriales; Clostridiaceae.